RNAcentral lists this ribosomal RNA (807 nucleotides) under Occidozyga cf. laevis TNHC 63040. RNAcentral describes it as "partial large subunit ribosomal RNA". It matches the Rfam family "Bacterial large subunit ribosomal RNA", at positions 1422 to 2571 of the family's 2925-position model. Lineage: Eukaryota; Metazoa; Chordata; Amphibia; Anura; Dicroglossidae. The record is from RNAcentral.
UCAAUUUAAUAUUAUCAACCCAUCAUUAGUAUUGAAUAAAUUCAUAAAUUAUGAAAAAUAUUAUGCUAGAACUAGUAACAAGAAAAUGAAUUUCUCCAAAAUGUAAACAUAAACCAAAAUGGACAACCCAUUGGUGAUUAACGACUUUGUACUUAUUAUAGUAAAACAACUAGAAAACUCUAUAUUUUAUGCCGUUAACCUUACACAAGAACUCUUCUGGAAAGAUUUAAAAGGAAAAGAAGGAACUCGGCAAAUUUUAACCCCGCCUGUUUACCAAAAACAUCGCCUUUUGCACAAAUAUAAAAGGUCCAGCCUGCCCAGUGUUUUUAAUCAACGGCCGCGUGAUUUAAGCGCGCUAAGGUAGCGUAAUAAUUUGUUCUUUAAAUAAGGACUUGUAUCAAUGGCAUCACGAGGGUUAUACUGUCUCCUCUCCCCAAUCAGUGAAACUAAUCUCCCUGUGAAAAAGCAGGGGUAAGACUAUAAGACGAGAAGACCCCAUGGAGCUUAAAAUACAGCAGCAACUAUAAUAAUAAUAUCAAUACAAUUUUUAGCCAUGUAUGCCAAUUUUAGGUUGGGGUGACCAUGGAGCAAAACAAAGCCUCCACGACGAAAAGAGUAUACACCCUUAUCCAAGAGAUACCCCUCUAAGAAUUAUUAAAAUAACGUCCAAUGAUCCGACUAUCGACCAACGGACCAAGUUACCCUGGGGGAUAACAGCGCAAUCCACUCUGAAAGCUCCUAUCGACGAGUGGGCUUACGAACCUCGAUGUUGGAUCAGAUAUCCCAGUGGUGCAGCGCUACUAAAGG